Molecule: ribosomal RNA, 1004 nt
Filed under: Paraplehnia seisuiae
Lineage: Eukaryota; Metazoa; Platyhelminthes; Polycladida; Plehniidae
Also listed under: 1 other name
Description: partial 28S ribosomal RNA
Rfam family: Eukaryotic large subunit ribosomal RNA
Source: RNAcentral
ACAAGGAUUCCUCUAGUAACGGCGAGCGAACGAGGAAAAGCCCAGCACCGAAUCCUGUACCGUCCUGGUGCUAGGAAAUGUGGUGUUUAGGCCGUGCUUUGUGUUGGUACGACUCUCCUCAAGUCCACUUGAUUGUGGCUUCAGGCCCAGAGAGGGUGUAAGGCCCGUGGAGGCGAGUUGUCCGGCGCCCGGCACGUCCUUAGAGUCGGGUUGUUUGGGAAUGCAGCCCUAAGCGGGUGGUAAACUCCAUCCAAGGCUAAAUACUAGCACGAGUCCGAUAGCGAAGAAGUACCGCGAGGGAAAGUUGAAAAGAACUUUGAAGAGAGAGUUCAAGAGUACGUGAAACCGCUGAGAGGCAAACUGGUGGAGCUGAAAUGGCUUUGAGGAAUUCAGCCUUUUGCUUGGGAGAUGGCGUCGGUUGUGGGAUUUAACGACUCCUCCGGCGUUGGUCUUCUCGAGUGAUAGGUGCACUUUCCUCUUAGUCGGACCACGACCAGCGAACUGUCUUGUCUAGCAUGAGUGGAAGGUAGCGUUCACUUCGGUGCACGUGUUAUAGCCACGAAUCUGGGCGAGCGGUGCGUUGGAUUACUUGAUGCCUGCCCUUCGGGCUCGUACGUUGGUUCCUUUCUGGAAUGGCUCUGGCUUCACUGCCUCGGCAGGGGAGUUGGAGACGUUUCGGUUAGGACUGGCCUCUGCGAUUGGCGUCUACAGUCAGUGGUUUCGAAGUAGGCAGUCCACCUGACCCGUCUUGAAACACGGACCAAGGAGUCUAACAUGUGCGCGAGUCAUUGGGCUCUACGAAACCUAAAGGCGCAGUGAAAGUGAAGAUCCAUUCUGGUGGAUUGAGGUAGGAUCCUGGGUCACGGCUCAGGCGCACUACCGGCCCGUCCGACAUGUCUUCAUGCGGGCGGAGCAAGAGCGUACACGUUGGGACCCGAAAGAUGGUGAACUAUGCUUGCGCAGGUCGAAGCCAGAGGAAACUCUGGUGGAGGACCGUAGCGAUU